RNAcentral lists this ribosomal RNA (337 nucleotides) under uncultured Porphyromonadaceae bacterium. Its description in RNAcentral is "bacterial SSU rRNA". It matches the Rfam family "Bacterial small subunit ribosomal RNA", at positions 355 to 690 of the family's 1533-position model. Lineage: Bacteria; Pseudomonadati; Bacteroidota; Bacteroidia; Bacteroidales; Porphyromonadaceae. The record is from RNAcentral.
UGAGGAAUAUUGGUCAAUGGGCGAGAGCCUGAACCAGCCAAGUCGCGUGAAGGAUGAAGGUUCUAUGGAUUGUAAACUUCUUUUGUCCGAGGGUAAAAAAGGCUACGUGUAGCUUCUUGCAAGUAUCGGACGAAUAAGCAUCGGCUAACUCCGUGCCAGCAGCCGCGGUAAUACGGAGGAUGCGAGCGUUAUCCGGAUUUAUUGGGUUUAAAGGGUGCGUAGGUGGUUUGUUAAGUUUGUGGUGAAAGCGUGCGGCUCAACCGUACCAAGCCAUGAAAACUGGCGAACUUGAGUGCAAACGAGGUAGGCGGAAUGUGAUGUGUAGCGGUGAAAUGCU